GUGGGGAAUUUUGGACAAUGGGCGCAAGCCUGAUCCAGCAAUGCCGCGUGCAGGAAGAAGGCCUUCGGGUUGUAAACUGCUUUUGUACGGAACGAAAAGGCUCUGGCUAAUACCUGGAGCUCAUGACGGUACCGUAAGAAUAAGCACCGGCUAACUACGUGCCAGCAGCCGCGGUAAUACGUAGGGUGCGAGCGUUAAUCGGAAUUACUGGGCGUAAAGCGUGCGCAGGCGGUGCUGUAAGACAGGCGUGAAAUCCCCGGGCUCAACCUGGGAAUUGCGCUUGUGACUGCAGCGCUGGAGUGCGGCAGAGGGGGAUGGAAUUCCGCGUGUAGCAGUGAAAUGCGUAGAUAUGCGGAGGAACACCGAUGGCGAAGGCAAUCCCCUGGGCCUGCACUGACGCUCAUGCACGAAAGCGUGGGGAGCAAACAGGAUUAGAUACCCUUGUAGUCC
This 450-nucleotide ribosomal RNA is filed under the name uncultured bacterium. RNAcentral's name for it is "partial 16S ribosomal RNA". It matches the Rfam family "Bacterial small subunit ribosomal RNA", at positions 354 to 796 of the family's 1533-position model. The record is from RNAcentral.